This 256-nucleotide ribosomal RNA is filed under the name uncultured bacterium. RNAcentral's name for it is "partial 16S ribosomal RNA". It matches the Rfam family "Bacterial small subunit ribosomal RNA", at positions 524 to 776 of the family's 1533-position model. The record is from RNAcentral.
GACGUAGGUGGCGAACGUUAUCCGGAAUUAUUGGGCGUAAAGGGUGCGUAGGCGGCAUGAUAAGUUAUUGGCGGGAAAUCGAGGCUCAACCUCGUGGAAACUAAUAAUACUGUUUUGCUUGAGUACAGUAGAGGUUAACGGAACUCCAUGUGGAGCGGUAAAAUGUGUAGAUAUAUGGAAGAACAUCAAUAACGGCGAAGGCAGUUAACUAUUCUGUUACUGACGUUGAGGCACGAAAGCGUGGGGAGCAAAACGG